RNAcentral lists this ribosomal RNA (400 nucleotides) under uncultured bacterium. RNAcentral describes it as "bacterial SSU rRNA". It matches the Rfam family "Bacterial small subunit ribosomal RNA", at positions 29 to 455 of the family's 1533-position model. The record is from RNAcentral.
AGCGAACGCUGGCGGCAGGCUUAACACAUGCAAGUCGAGCGGGCGUAGCAAUACGUCAGCGGCAGACGGGUGAGUAACGCGUGGGAACGUACCUUUUGGUUCGGAACAACACAGGGAAACUUGUGCUAAUACCGGAUAAGCCCUUACGGGGAAAGAUUUAUCGCCGAAAGAUCGGCCCGCGUCUGAUUAGCUAGUUGGUGAGGUAACGGCUCACCAAGGCGACGAUCAGUAGCUGGUCUGAGAGGAUGAUCCGCCACAUUGGGACUGAGACACGGCCCAAACUCCUACGGGAGGCAGCAGUGGGGAAUAUUGGACAAUGGGCGCAAGCCUGAUCCAGCCAUGCCGCGUGAGUGAUGAAGGCCCUAGGGUUGUAAAGCUCUUUGUGCGGGAGGAUAAUGAC